UUCGCCUUAUUGCUUAUUUGAACAAGUAAAAGUUCUGCCUUGAUUGUGCCCCAGUUGAGAAAAAUCAAAAAGCCAAAACCUUGAGCAGACCCUGAAAUGUAACCCCAUCAUUUUCAUCUCCACCGGCCAACCUGAUCAUGGCUUCAACAUCUUCAUCAUGGGCCUCAAACCCGGCCCAUUUAAGGUAACUUUUCAAAUCCUCACGGCCCACUUUCCCAUCUCCAUCUUUGUCCAUAACCCGAAAAGCAUCUUCCAUUACAACCCAUCUCCCAUUUCUACCGUUUUUCCCAUUCAACACCUUCUCAAAUUCUUCAUAUUCCACAUAUCCAUCCUUGUUAAAAUCCGCCAUGGAUAUCCCCCAGGGCCCGAAAACCCUCCGUAAAAGGCCCGGAGAUCGUCGUGGCUAAUCUUUCCGUCGCUAUCAGCGUCAAGAACAUCGAAUGCUGAUCGCAAAUUGGGCUUUCCGGUUGUUUCACGACCGCCCGAGGCGGUUCCCGAUGGACACAUUUCGUUCCGGGAAGACCAAGAAAUUAUAUGGGAUCUGAAAGGACAAGAUUUUAUGAAAUGGUGUAAACCGCCUUUUGGGUGUUUGAGAGAGUUUGGGAGGCAAGAUGUCUGAAUUUAUAGUUGGAAUUUGACUUGCCCAUCAAGUUUAUUUUCUUGAAUUUGUAGAAAUUAAAAAUUCUUAGGGUAAAUUUCAUCCAUGGUCACUGAAUUUUCAGUGAAAUCUAAAUUAGGUCGUUAAAUACUAAUUUAUCUCAAUUGGUUCACUAAAUUUCAAUAUUAAAUUUUUAUUUCACCACUCUGUCAUAUUCCGUCACUUGUCGUCAGCUUCAAGAUGCUAAAAAUUGCUUCGUUGACAAUCAUACCAAAAUUGAUCUUCCAUAUAAUCUCUACAUAGCUACUUCCCUUUAAUACUUUUAUGUUCAUAGUGUAGCGAUAAUUUAGCAUAGCACACUAUGAUUAUGUGGAAGAUUCAUCUUGAUAUGACCUAUAAUUAAGUAGAUUUUAUCAAUUUCGAAGUAGCAUGUGAUAGUAGAGAAAUUUGACACCAAAAUUGAACAAAAUAAAGUUUAGUAAUUGACCUAAUUGAAAUUAUUUUGAAAGCUCAGUGACCGCGGAUAAAGUUGACCAGAAUCAUAGAUUUGUAUAUGUAUUAUAUUAUUGGUGUAUUACGUGUGAGAUGACGCACGGGGGAAUCUAACAUGUCGGUCAUUGUUGAAGUUUCUCGGAGGAGUCAAAAGACAUCGUCCCUUGUAUGUGAUGUCAUUUCAGAGAAAUUACACUAUGGUGUCUUUUUUUUUGACCAAGUUGAAUCUUAUUUUGAUGUAAAAUGUCUAAAAAUCCUUUAUGAAAAACUUCUUUCAUUAUUUUUAAUCAUCAGGAUAAAUCUAAUUCAAUUAAAAUCAUCUCUAUUUUUUCUUUGAUCCUUGAAAUAGGGAUGUCAACGAGUCGAGUCGAGUCCGAACCUAAAACUUUCGGCUCGAUUAAAAUGGUCAAGCUGUUUUACGAGCUCGAGCCGAGCCGAGCUUUUGCUCUACCAAAAAAUUUUCGGCUUCUGCUCGGACUUUUCCGAGCUGAGCCUAGCCGACUCCUUUUUUUUCUGGCGGCCUUAAAAGGCAGAAUUUGCUGCCUUGAAUUAUGCCUUUUUAAAGGCAGCAAUUCUGCCUUUUAUGCCCAUUUUUCAUUUUUUUUAAUUAAAGGCUUGCGGGUCAGCCCGAGCCUCAGCUCGGUUGCUCCAAGCCACAAGUCGGGCCCGUCUGAGUCGUCAAGCCUUUUUGACACUCCUAGGUGAGUGCAGGAAGGGGUCGAUCUAGCACAAUGAAACAAAGGGUUUACCGUUUGUCAACUGAGAAUCCAUAAAAAGAUUUAUGUGUGGAGUACCUCUACUUUAGCAGGGAUCCCUUUGCUUAUAAGGAGGGUCCGCAUGAGCUAAAACUACGAAUGGCCCAAAUCAAAGUGAAGUUUUGUGAACUGGGGCAAGAACUUGUUGGGCGUAGGAUAAAGUUAAUCAAGGAGUGGAGGGCAAAAAGCUACAGAAGUCAGGGAUAUGAGGCUCGGUCUACAGGCCUUACGUCAAAGCCCGAGAACAGAUUGGAAGUGAGAGGGAUCCAGAAUCUAAGGAAGCGAAGGAACUGAGCUAGACUACUGGGGUUAAGAUGGGGAAAAGAUGAUACCAGUAUAUCACAGAGAUGCUUGGGUGGAUGCUGAAUCUUGAUCUGUCUCCUGGCAUUGAUAGUGAUUGAUCGAAUUCCUACUCUUGUUGCUAUUGGGAAGUGUGGCAAGGACGUGGAAUUGGGGACGGCACGUCGGCAUGGACAUAAAUGUGAUUGCCAUGCAUUCUUGAACUGGACAAUAAAAAUAAAGAAAGAAGAAUCAUUGAUUACAAAUUGAUGUUGUCAAUAAUAAUCUCUCUUUCCUUCCAAUGGAAAAUUAAAAUUCAUUGCUUUUUUCCCUUCUGAGUGCGAAUAUUUCAAAAAAAUGAAAAAAAUUGUAAAUGGCAAGUUUAUUAAAAUUUACAAGUGAAUGACAAUUGUACGCCUGCAUUCCUAGAGAUUAUUAUCGUUGUAUUCUUGAUUCUGUCAUAUAAAUAUAGGGUUUUGGUACUUAAUAAAAUACAUACAAAUCUAUUAACUUCUUUAUAUUUUCUUCUAUUUUCUCUCUUUUUAUAACACGUUAUCAGUACGAUAGCUUAAUUUUUCAAAAUUUAGUAAAUGUAGUAAUUUUUUUAUAAGUAUAAAUAUUUAUCACGUAUAUCAAAAUUAAUUUAGUGGCAUGUGAAUUCUUUCGAUGUACAUAUACAUCAUAAUCAAGUUGUUUAUUCUCUUCCGAUUUUCAUUUGCAUGCAUAUUAAUUUUAAUCCAUGUUUGUAUGUGUAAUUUGUACGCAUAUUAAUUCAUGUCUUUUGAUUCAUACACAAUUAAUUUUGUCACAUAUCAUUAAUUCUGUCUUUUGAAUCUGUUACAUACUAGUUCUACUUUUGAUUUUUGUACAUGUGAAAUUCAUAUGUAUGUUUAGUAUCUUUUGUAUCUGGUAAAAAAUUUAGCCAAUUUUGUUAACUUCUAUGUAUAAAAAUUCUUUUUCCUAGGUAUCGUUUGGUAGCCAUUUUUUUUCAAAAUGCAUUUUUUUCUCUCUUUUUUUUUUCAACCACCUAUUCUUUAUUAAAAUAAUAUUAUACGUAAAUAAAAAAAAUUUCCUUAUUUUUCAACCACACAUUUCACAUCAAUUUACUAUUCUAAAAUGUAUUUUUACAUAAAAAUGCCUAUCAAACACCUCCAAUACAUGUUUGGUAAUUAAUUUUUUUUAUAUAAAUUCAUAUUAUGUCUAUACGGUGAUUAAAUAUUCUUAGAUAUUCUUCUAUAAACUUUAAAUUAAUAAUUUAACAUAUUGUUGUUCUAAAAAUAGCACAACAUUAUAAUUAAUAUUGCAGAAGAAUAUUAAUUGUAUAUCUAUAUAUUAUAAAUAGUUCGUUCUUACUUUUGAAGUAGCACAAAAUUAUUAAUAUUCUAGAAGAAUAAUACUUGCUUAUGAAGAGCAUGACAUUACAAUUUCAAUAUUCUAGAAUAAUAUUGACCAAAUGCUCCCGAUGACGCAUAAUUUAAAUUAUAUUUAAUUUUAACAAAUAUGGUGUUGAUGUUAUCGAAGAAGCACAACUCACAUUAUAUAAAUAUUUCGGAAGAAUAUUUUAUUGUUACUCAUGUAAAACACAAAUUUAAUAUUAAUAUUAUAUUGUUUAACUCGAAAGGUAGAAUGAGUCGUUAGUAUCAAUAUUACAGGGGAAUAUUGUAUUUAUACUCUUGAAAAUUAUAUAUCUCUUUAUACAGCACAACUUAUAUGAAAAAUUUGUAUUGAUGUUCCUAAAAAAAUGACAUUAUUAAUAUUUUAAAAAAGAAUAUUAAUUGCUCCAAAAGAACACUAUAUUAUAAUAUCAAUAUUCCUUAAGUAUAUUGAUUGGUUUUAUGUAAAAUCAUGAAUUAAGUUACUCUAUUUAUUUAUGUAUCCAUUCUUCUACACACAUCUUAUAUAUUAAUGUUCUGUUUAGAUUUUAUUGCUCUCGAAGAGUAUAAUGAUGUAAGGUCUAAUAUAAAAUUACGUUUUUACUCGUGAAGAGUAAAUCAUUACAUAAGUUAUUGCUGUAAAUAAUAAUAUGUUAUUACUCUUGAAGAGCAUUGAAUUAAAAUUCUCCAUAAUUCAGAAAAGUAUUGAUUUAAUAUUCUUGAAGAAGCAAUAUUAAAAUGUAAUGUGAUUUUGAAAUAGCAUAAUAUAAUUUUCAUUAAUAUUUUAGUUAAAUUGUAUUUGCUCCCAAAGAGCAUAAUUAUAUACAAUCCAACAUAAAUUAUAUUUUUACUCUUGAAAAGUAAAUUUUUGUAUAAUUUAUAAUAAUAAUAUUUGGUUGCUUCUAAAGCGUUUGAAUUAUAAUUUUCAGUAUUUUAGAAGAAUAUUGAUAUAUUGAUGUUGAAAAAACAAUAAUAAAAUAUAACGUAAUCUCUGUGUCCUCACACAUUUCGAAAAAUUAUACUUCAUUGUGUUCCUAAAAACACAAAAAUUAUAUGUUUAUCCCUGAAGAAAAGCAUACAAUUUAUGUCAUGUGAACUUUAAUUUUUAUAUUAUAUAUCAUAGUUAAUCAUACUUUUGAGAAUUAACUAUGUUUUUUAUUUGAUUAAAUAAUUAUUUAAAUUUGAAACUUAUAUUGAACUAGAAAUUCAAUUAUUUGGCAUGACGUGAUGUGUGUAUUAUUUGUUCUCUUUAUUGACAAUUAAUUAUUAAACAUAACCGACUAAAACAGGGAUUGAACUUCCUAUAUUUUUGAAAAUUAAUUAGAGUGGUAUAUAGGGCGAUAUUAUCCUCCACGUUGAUCAUCUAAGAACCCGUUUGGUACGGAUUAUAAUUCGAUUUUAAUUUAAGUCAAAGUCAAAUAAUCAAUCAAUAUUAGCCACAUCUUCCAUAGGUCCUAACUUUUCAAUCACACAUUUCAAAAUUUUUUUAUCACAAUCUACUUAAAAUCUAUUUUUAAUUCCCAUCAAAUAGCCUCUAAAUAUUAUUUGUAUCUGAUAAAUUUGAUAUAUAUACUAGAUGGUUGCACGUGUUCAUAUCUUGAAGUUUGUGAAAUUAUUGUUCAAAUUCUAAAUUGUGAGUAUAAUUUUCGGAUUAUAUAAUCAAGAUUGUGUCUUGUCAAUGCUAGUGGACAUAAACAUCAACAUUUUAAUAAAUGCUAGUUAUUAGUUGAGAUGUCAAUAAAUGGUUUGACACUAUUAUUUGUUACAUGCCUUCAAGUAAUUUAAUUGAGAAUAAGGUACUUCCCAUUUUUGUUUGAGGAUUUUCAUUGCGCAUCAUGCCAAUAUCACAGUUCUCUCUAUUAUAAUUGGCUUAUAAUUAGAGCAUAAUUUUUUCAUCUAAUUUUUUCGAUAAUGCAUAUAUGUAAAAUUGAUAUACCAUAAUGUAUUCAAAUGGAAAGUAAAGAAUGUUGAGAAUAAAUGCAUAAUUUGAACCAUUAUCCCAAAUGAGAGAUAUUUUAUAACGGUGAAAAAAUAAUUGUCAAUUUGAUUGGACAAUUCUCUCAAUAUUAUAGGGAAGAAUUAAGAAACUGAAAAUAAUAUACAAAUGCAUUAUUAUCUAAAUCACCGCAAAAGAUCGUUCGAACCAAAUGUUCAAAAGAAAAUAUACUUGAUGCAUUUAUUGACUCAAGAGAUCAAUAAUAUCUCACACAUCAGUUUCAAAUAUUCCAACUCGAAUUAACGUCCUAAGGAUAAUUAGUCAAUAUGAUAUUUUAAGGUACGCUUGAAACCUGAUGGUAUUCGAUUCUAAUUAAAAAAAAUCUCCAAACGAAACUAGAGCAAUUAGUAAAGAUAGUCUUAUUAAAGAGUCAUAUAUUCUUGAUGAGUAUUUAGACAUAACAAAUUACAAAAUUUCAGAAGAGAUUCAGGUACCUGAUAUAUUGAAAAUUGAUAUAUCUCAAUAAGUUAUGUCAUCAUGAAGAAAGAAAUAGAAUCCAACAAGAAAAUAAAAAAUUGUCGACAAUAAUUUUGCACAUGAUGUAUUGCAUCAUAUAGCAACGCGUCAAAAUAUAUCGAUCGAAGUAAUAAUUAGCUAAAUAAAGGGACUCAAUUCUAACUUGAAUUUAUUAGAGAAACCUGAAGUUUUUGGAUAUACAGUUCGAACACCUGAAGGUGUAUACUUAUGCAAAAUAAAAAUGGAAAAAAAAAUAAAGUCAUAAUAUGAAAUGUACUAUUCUUUACAUAAUGAAUUUCAUGAAAAUUAGUAUAAAUAGAUAGAUCAUGUAGUGGAAGUAAUUACAAGUCUCUAUUUUAUUAGUCUGGCAAGACAUAGAAUUUGAUAUUAAUAUUAUAAAUUCGAUUAUAGUCAAUGCAUCUGGCAUGGUUAUUAAUGUUACCUUGAAAGAUUUAAAUGUUUGAAUCAUAAUUCAAGUGUUAUUAUAAUGAGGGAGAGUAAUGUAAAAUAUUUUUCGAACAAUUGAACAAAAUAAACUUUAAAAUAUCCAUUUUUACUAGUGUAAUUUACACUGAGUAAUGUACAAUAUUUUUCAAAGUUUAAUUGCCCAAACUCGACAUUUAAAUUUCAGUGAAUAAUUGAAAACAUGGACUUAAGUUAAGUGACCUCGAUAUUUUAAAUUUUAGUGACCAAUUAAAGUCAUGAACCCAAGUUCAAUUGCCAUUGAAACAAUUAAUUAACUAUGUGUCUUCGUGGAAUUAAAUUUUACUUAUUAAAACAUGUGUCUGACACUCAUUUUUAUGGAAAAAUGAAUUUUAGAAUAGUAGAUUGAUAGAAAAUGUGUGGAUGAAAAAUAAGAAUUUUUUUUAUUUACGUAAAUUAUUAUUUUAAUGAAAAUUAUGUGAUUAAAAUAAAGUGAAGGAAAAAUACAUUUUAAUAAAAAUGAGAAUCAAACGAGCCUUGAGCCUCUAUCUUGCUUGGAUUUCUAGUUGAUGCCACGAAGCAACAACAUGGGGUUGGUGCCACGUGGACAAGUUGAGGCUGAUGAACCUCUUAAGAAACUUGUAAAUAACUUUUUAUUUGAAAAAAAGUUGUAAUGAAUAUUGAAUAGAGGGUGUUUGGUAGAUAUUUUUAUGUAAAAAUGCAUUUUUGAAUAGUAAAUUGAUGGGAAAUGUGUGGUUGAAAAAUAAGGAAAAGUUUUUGAUUUACGUGUAAUAUUAUUUUAAUAAAGAAUGUGUGGUUGAAAAGAAGAGAGAGAAAAAUGGAUUUUCAAAAAAAAUGGGUACCAAACAAGCUUAUAAUAUGUUUUGUCUGCCUAGGUGCCAGUGAAGGCAUCAACCUACACUCCAAACAUGCUAUUAGCCUCCCGUUUGAGUCCCAUUAUUUUUCAUUACAUUAAAUUAAAUUUUUCUCUCUUCUACUUUUAACCACAUAAUUUUCAAUUAAAAAAAAUAUUACACAUAAAUCAAAAACUUUUCAACCACUCAUUUUUCAAAAAAAUAUUAUUCAUCUCAUUAUAAUCUACAAAUAAUAGGGCUCAAAUAGCCCCUUAAUGAAAUGGAAUUGGAUGAAUAAUUGUUGGGGCUCAUUUUAUAAUGCGGACAAAUAAAAGACCAAAAAUAACAAAAUGGUCAGAACAGAAUCAUCUCAAUAAUUAAGAAAAUUGUUCAACUAUUAAAAAUAAAAAACAAUAAACAGACAAAAUCUUUGGCUAGAGUUGUCUUACAAUUGCAGACCACCUUGUUUCACCUUAUUUCUUAUUUGAACAAGUAAAAGUUGUGUCUCCAGUCGAGAAAAAUCAAAGAGCCAAAACCUUGAGCAGACCCUGAAAUGUAACCCCAUCAUUUUCAUCUCCACCAGCCAACCUGAUCAUGGCUUCAACAUCUUCAUCACGGGCCUCAAACCCGGCCCAUUUAAGGUAACUUUUCAAAUCCUCACGGCCCACUUUCCCAUCUCCAUCUUUGUCCAUAACCCGAAAAGCAUCCUCCAUUACACCCCAUCUCCCAUUUCUACCGUUUUUCCCAUUCAAAACCUUCUCAAAUUCAUCAUAUUCCACAUAUCCAUCCUUGUUAAAAUCCGCCAUGGAUAUCAUAGACUUUAUAUCAUCCUCAUUGGAAUCCCCGGGGCCAGAAAACCCUCCGUAAAAAGCCCGGAGAUCGUCGUGGCUAAUCUUUCCGUCGCUAUCGGCGUCAAGAACAUCGAAUGCUGAUCGCAAAUUGGCUUUUCCGGUUGUUUCACGGCGGUCCGAUGCGGUUCCCGAUGGACACAUUUUUGUUCGGGAAAUACCAAGAAAUUAUGAAAGGACAAGAUUUUUUAUGAAACGGUGUCAACUGACGUUUGAGAGACUUUGGGAGGCAAGAAGUGUAUUUAUAGUUGGAGUUUGACUUGCCCAUCAAGUUUAUUUUCUUGAAUUUGUAGAAAUUAAAAAUUCUUAGGGUAAAAAUUCAUCUAUGGCCACUGAAUUUUCUGUGAAAUCUAAAUCAGGUCAUUAAGUACUAAUUUACCUCAAUUGGGUCACUAAGUUUCAAUAUUAAAUUUUUGUUUCACCACUUGUCAUAUUCCGUCACUUGUCGACUUCCAAAUGUUAGAAAUUGCUUCUUUGACAAUCAUGCCAUAAUUGGUCUUCCAUAUAAGCUCUAUAUAGCAACCUAGAUAUUGAAAGACAUGCUUUUAUUAUGUCUGUAGUGUAAUGAUAAUUUCGCAUAGCACAAACGAUUACGUGGAAGAUUCAUUGUGAUAUGACCUAUAAUUAAUUAAUUUUUAUCAAUUUUGAAGUAGCAUGUGAUUGUGGAAAAUUUGAAAGCAAAAUUGAACAAAAUAAAGUUUAGUCAUUGACCUAAUUGAAAUUAUUUUGAAAGUUCGGUGGCCGCAGACAAAGUUGACCAGAUUCUUAGAUUUGUAUAUUAUUAUUGUAUUACCGAUUACGUAUGAGAUGACGCACGUGGGAAUCUAACAUUUUGGUCAAUGAUCAAGUUUCUCGAAGGAAUCAAAGACGUUGUCUCUUGUAUGUGAAUUGUGAUGUCAUUUUAGGGGAAUUACACUAGGGUCCCAAUUGUUUGCAAAAUAGACCAACUCGAAUAAAAUUUUGAUGUAAAAUGUCUAAAAAUGCUCCAUGAAAUAAGCUUUUCUAUUGUUUUUAAGAAUAAAGUUUCUUUGCCAGAAAAGUUUCGACAUGUUGAUUGACACAUACCAACAUGCGGUGAGAUCCAAGUGGGACCCGCUAAAAUAAAAAAUGAAAAAAAGUGCACCCACCCCCAUUUUAUUGUGAGUGUCUGUCAGGUGGCAACAUAACUUGAUUUUAUUUUUGAUUAUCAGUAUCAAUCUAAUUCAGUUUAAAUCACUUAUUAUUUUUUUCCAUCCUCAAUGAAGUGAGGCGCGGGACGAUCAUUACAGCACAUGAAACGAACGAGUUGCGGAAUGGAUAUAAAUAGGAAUGUUAUGCAUUCUUAAAUUGGACAAUAAAAACAAAGAAAAAGAAUCAUUCAUUACAAAUCGUGGUUAAAAAUUAAACUUGUCAAAAAUAAUCUCCUCUUCCAAAGGAAAAUUUGAAUUCAUUGCCCCUUUCCCUCUUGAUUAAUUAUUAUAAUUCCACAUUUCUAUUUCCACGCAAAAGUGGGACAAAGUUAAUAAAUAAUAUUAUUCUCCCAUCAAUUAGGUAUAUUUGGCCGGUUUGUCCAUUACUGAUGGCGACCCCAACAAUCUUCAGUGGCUUUCAUGUCAAUAACCUAAAAAUGUGCUUCAAAAUAGAAUAAAGUUUUAAUUGUACUGUAAAUAUAGUAGUAUUUAUGAAUGACUUUUAUACCUCUACAAUCUUAGUCAUUAUAACUGUUAUAUUUCUUGUAACCCUAAUUUUUCUCUAUAAAUAUGGAGUUUUAAUAAAUAAUUAAAUUUCUUUCUGAGGCCAACUCGGGCUUGAGCUGACAUCUAAAAGUAAGUCUUGGCAACCUCGAGCUAAGCCACAUGUUGUCGAAGUCGAUGAGCCAAAUUGAUAUCCAUCCUGAUGUUGUGGUAUUAAAUUUGUCUGUAAUUGUAAUUAGACCACUUUGAUUUUGAGAUAGAUUUACUAUACUCAUCUUUUUAGAUAUGGGUUAUAAUUGUAUAGGGCCACAUGGGUUCUGCAUAACCAGGGGCGCCACUUAGGUGGGAGGCCUAUUUUGUACACCGGGUUCUGCAUAACCAGGGGCGCCACUUAGGUGGGAGGCCUAUUUUGUACACCUAGCAUGAUUCUUUAGAUAUAAAUUUUAUAUGCAUUAUAUAUAUAUAUAUAUAUAUCUUUUAAAUUAAAAAUAUAUCAUGUUGUGCUCCUAAAGAAGCAUAACUCUACAAAUAUUACAUUCUACUGAAGAGUUAUAGUUUUUAAAUAAUAGGUUGUUGUUACUUUGGAAAUAGUAUAACAUUAUAAUUGAUAUUUUAGAAGAAUAUUACUCCCUAUUGAAGAGUGUGAAUUAUAAUUUUUAAUAUUUUAGAAUAAAAUUAACAUAUUGCCUUUUAAGAAAGGAUAGUAAAAUAUAACAUGUUCUCGAAGUAGAACACGCCUAAAAGAAUAUAUGUCUCGUUAUGUUCUUGAAUAAACACAAAUUUAAUUACUCAAUACUUGGUUGUAAUUUUUAAAGGAAAUUACUUUUUAUUAUAUUAAUAUACAAGAAGAAUAGUAAUUUAGUGCCACUGAAGAGCGUAACGUUUAGUGGUUUAAUAUUCUCACAUAUUAUUGCUUCAAAAAGAGAAACAAGUAAAAAUCUUGAAAUGCUAGAAAAAUUUAAGAUGGUUAUCAAGAUAUCACAAUUCUUCAAAGAUAAAAUGUACUUCUUGAAAUUAAAAUUAGCAUAAAAUAAUGUUAAUAAAAUAUCAGGUACAUAAAAAAUCAUUGAAGGCUCCGAAAGAGCUUUUAUUAUUUCAUCAAAUAAUUCAAAAUUAUAUAUUGAUGCACUUUAUUCCAGCAAAUUCAAAAAAAAAAAAAAUCCGUUGCAAUCGAUAUCGUAAAUGCGAAGUUCGUUGAUCCAAAAAGUUUAUACUUGGAAUGAUUAGUUAUACCACCAUUGGAUUAAUAAUGAUGCAAAAUUGAAAGUUCAAAAGGACGUUCAAGAAAAAUUAGAAGAUUUUCAAUCAAAUGAAUUCCUAUAUAUUAUUUGUUCUAUUUUUCAUUAAUUUGCAUUAGCUAAUAUAGGGAUUGAAUUCCCUAUAUUUUCUGAAAAUUAAUUAGGGAAAUAAAGGGGGUCAUGCAUCCUUCAUGUUGACUAUCUAGAUAUUAUUUGUAUCUAAUAUAUUUAAUAUAGCUACUAGAUAAUUGCAUGGUAUUCACAACCUAAGUUUGUGAAAUUGCUACUCAAAAGUUAAAUCAUGAGCAUAAUUUUUCGAAUUAUACAAUCAAGACAAUAUUUUGUUAAUGUCAGUGAGCCUAAAUUUCAACAUUUUAUUAAGUGUUAUUUCGAAUGUCGACAAAUGAUUUAACUAGUUUGCUUGUUAAACGCUGCUAAUUAAUUUAAUUAGGAACAAAGUUCUUCCCAUUUCUGUUUGAUGAAUACUUUUAUGCAUAAUGCCUAUAUCAAGUUCACCAUAUUAUAAAUAACUUAUGGUUACAAUAUGAUUUCAUCAUCUAAUUAUUUUGACAGUACAAUAUAUAUAUACAAUCAAUCCACCACAUUAAACUGAAUGAAAAGUAAAGAAUGAUGAAAAUAAUUGCGUAGUUUAAACUUUUAUCCCAAAUAGUUGAUAUUUUACAAACUUGCUUAUUGUCAAUUUUAUUGGACAAUUCUCUCAACUUUAGGGGAGGAAUUAAGAAGUUGAAAAACAAUGUACAAAUGCACCAUUAUUUAAAUCCUCGCAAAAGAUAAUUCGAACCAAAAGUUCGAAAGAUAAUUUAUUUGAAUACAUUUACUCAUCAAAUAGAUCAAUAAUAUCUCACAUACCAACUUUACAUGCUCCAACUUGAAUUAAUACCCUCGAGGACAAUUGGUUAAUUUAAUAAAUUUAUGGCACAUCUAAAGUAUGAUAAUAUUUGGUUCUAAUGCAAAAAUCUCCAAACAAAAUUGGAGUAAUCCCAUUAAGGAUGCAUAUACUUUUGAAAGGAUUUAAAUAAAACAAAUUAACCCCAUAAGAGGUUCAUAUGUAUGAUAUAUUGAAAAUUGAGAUAUCUUUAUAAGUUAUAUCUUUAUGUAAGAAAUAGAAACAAAAAAGAAAAAAUUAUUGACAACACGUUUACAUAUGAUGUACUAUAUCAUAUUUUGAAUAGCGAAUAAUUGAAAUAAAUUAGCCGAAGCAUAUCAAUCGAAUAAAUAAUUGGUAAAAGGAUGCAAUUUUAGCACGAUUGAAUUUACUAGAUAAAUAUAAAGUUUCUAGAUCUACAGUCGAAAUACCUAAAGAUUUAUAUUUAUGCGAAAUGAAAAUAGAAAAAGUAAAGGCGUAAUGUAAAAUGUACAAUUCUUUACAUAUUGAAUUCAGUGAAAACUUGUGUAAAUAGAUAAAUUAUCCAAUGGAGGAUGCAAUUAUAAGUAUCUUGUUAGUCUAGCAAUGCAUGCAAUUUGGUAUGCAUGUAGUAAAUAUGAUUAUAGCCAAAUUACCUUGUAUGAUUUUUGUUACACCUAUAAAUUACCACUUCAUAUUAGGCCCCAAAGUCGACGUUCUGACAAGGCCAGUCGAGGCGCCACUAAGGCCCUAAGGAGUUCAGCGGAGGCGCUCGCCAAAGUGCCUAUUAUUAUGUUCAUAUGAUCACCUCCUUAUUGGGCUUAAACUUCGACCCACCAACCCGUUUGGCUCAUUUUACUUCUAUUUCACUAUAUAUAUGGAUUCACUUACACAACUAAAGUAUGUUCUACACUUUCUAAUCAUACCUUCAUCUUCAUACUAUUGCACUCUAUAUAUCCAUCUCCGUCCGGCCGUUGACUUGAUCGUCGGAGUGCAAACGAUCGCCGGACCCUUUUCUCGUCUGACCGCAUUUGCCUCUUGACGGUGUGCUACUUCUGUAGGUUUUGAGGGGACGAGGCUAAGGAACCUGUUGAAGCCGUUUUUGGAGGUCAACAAAUUGGCACCAUCAUUUGUGUAAAAUGGUAUGUUGACCAUGUUAUAGUACAUCCCAAAGGCUAUCGAAAAGGGAGAAUUUUUCCGAUCAGUUCUCUACCAAAAAGGGGCAAAGAUAGCAACCAAGAAUGAAGAAGAAAAGGCAGUAACUAGAAGAGGGUUGAAGAAACUCGAUGGUUAUUUCCGGCACAAAACACAGCUAAUGAAAGGGAGGAAAUAGUUUGGCAAACUGAAAUUAAUUUUUGGUGGAGUUUCUCGUGCCCAAAUUGAAGAAAAAAGUCAUGAAAAUGGUGAUUAGGAAAGAAAUGGCCAUCCACACCUAGAAGGUUCUGCCUUCACGUUUGAAACAAGAAAAAUACUCCUCUUGCUGGAAUUAUCUACUUUUGCUUCCCCGUACAAAGGAAAUUUUAAAGGAUUUAUCCUUAAAUCAAUUACUUCAAUUCCCUUCUCAUAUGAACUCAAAAAAAAAAAAAAAAAAUGGAGUCUCUGUUCAGAAGAUCCACGUCCAGAAGGAAAUAAAGUCUAAGUCCAAAACAAAAGCAAAAGAAGGAGGCACGGCAAACACGGAUUUCUUCUCCUUUCGAAGUUGGAAAAAGAUUUUAAUGGGCGACCAUGGUUAUGUAAACCUCCGACAACAAGUAGCACCACACAAUACAAAGAAACACCGGCAUCGCAGUGAACUUCACGGCAGAGUUCUUGCUUUGUUACAUCAUUUUAGCAUUUAAUAUGAUGAAGACCAGGUGUCGACAGCGGCGUGUUCAGAGAAAAGAGUUGUACACAGUCGGCUAUCCAGCUACUAUUGUGCCUUACUUUGCUGACUUUUCUCCUGUAAUGAUUGGAAGGUAUUUUAUUAAGCUCCGCACACGGUAUGCAUUAUUGGUCCUAUGUAUUCAUUUUCCUUGGGCCCUAUUAUUUUACAUGAAAAUUUGGGGCUCAUUUGAUACUUUAAUUUUCUAGUGCCAUCUUCUCUCAGACCAAUGCAAUAUAUUUUCUACUCUCGAAGUUCCAUUUGAAAUUGGGCAGUAAGCUGUGAGCUCUAAGUUGAUUUUAUGGUCACUAUCUACAAGCUUCUUAGUGGGCUAUUAUUUAUUAUUAUUUGGUUGGGUUAUCCCUAUUUAUUCACACUUAUAUAUAUAUAUAUAUAUAUAUAUUGUCCAUGGCUUGAUUAGCUACCACUUUGACUAUUGAUUGGAUUGACUCCUAUUUGCUCUACCAUUAAUUCUUAUCAUCCAUGUCUAAGCAAAACCUACUGCCAUGGCAUAAUUUCGGAGUAUGGAGAUGAAUCUUAAUUUUAUUUGUGAAAAUGAGUUGUUAUCUAUUAUUGCCCAUAUUAUACUGUAAAUGGAUGGUGGCUUGCACCAAGCACUUGCAAAUGUCCAGCUCAAAUUUCGCUCAUUGAAAGCCUUUUUAUCAUCUUCUCCAUUAUCCAAGGCAAGCUCUAAAACCUUGCAUUAUUGAAGCCGAGCUCAUGAUUCUCUUAUUUAUUGAAGGCGAGCCCUAGCUCGUGUAUAUCUUAUCAUCAAAGCAUCAUUUUGGAGACCUCGUUCUUUGAAUAAAGGAAGAGGCAAUAUUUUUGGAGUCCUCAUUCCUUGAAUAAAGGAAGAGGUGAUAUCUUGAAGUCCUUGUUCCUUGUAUAAAGGAAGAGGCAUCAUAAUUUUGGAGUUCUCUUUCCUUGAAUAAAGGAAGAUGCGGAAGAGGCAGUAUAUUCGAGUACUCAUUCCUUGAAAAAAGGGUGAGAAAAAUCGCCAGACGUGUUUGCCCUUGAAAAAGGAGCCUUUCUUGGCCCCGCGAAAUGUUUAUUCCUUACAUCGCCAGAUGUUUAUUCUUGGGUUCACGGGAUGCUUAUUCUCCACCUCACUAUCGUCGAGGCCAGCUUAUAAGAUUCCGAUAGUCGACGGUUUGCCGGAUGUUUAUCCCUGGCUUCGCUUUUCUUGCUUCACUAUCGUUGAGCUUGGCUCUAAAUCCUCUUCUAUUCGAGGCCAGCUUAUAAAACUUCGAUAGUUCAAAACUUCACCAGAUGUUCAUCCCUGGCUUCGCGAGAUGUCUUUUCCUCGCUUUGCAAUCGUCGAGCUUAGCUUUAAACCCUCGUCAACCUGAGGCCAGCUUAUAAAACUCCAAUAGUUCGACACUUUGCCAGAUGUUUAUCCCUGGCUUCGCGAGAUGUGUUCUCCUCGCUUCACUAUCGUCGAGUAGAGUUUUAAGUCCUCUACAUUCCGAGGUUGCUUAUGGCUCCGAUAGUUUGAGUUACUCGCGGGACGUUUAUCCCUUGCCUCACUAGAUGUUGUCCUCAGCUUUACAAAACUUAGACGCACCUGACGUGGAGUCCCCUAUGGGUUAUCGCCUCGGCCGCUGCGUUCCCUCCUAAGUUUUACAAAGUUUUAGCCAUCUUCCAACGCAUCGUCCCUUAUGGGUCAGCGUACUGAUGACAGAUCACUCAGUUUUACAAAGUUUAAAUGCACCUAACGCGGAGUCCAUCGCAGCUGCGUUCCCUCCUAAACCUUACAAAGCUUUAGCUCUCUCCCAACGCAUCAUCCCCUGUGGGUCAGCGCACCGGUGGCAGAUGAGCUCCUUCCUCAAGCAGCGUCGAACCUUCAGUGCCUCAGUCGAAGAUGUGUCUCGACCUUCAGCUUCACAAAUUUCAGCAUCUCCCACGCGUCGUCCUAUUAGUCAGCGCUUCGGUAGAGACAGUUGAACCUACAACCAUACACUCAGUUGAUCUUAAAAAGUCAAUGGCUGAUAUACAUCGGUAUGCUUCAGUAUCAGUACGGCUACUUAUAUUCAGUUCAAAGCAUUGCUUCUGCUACUACAUCCAUAGCAUUGCCUCUGCUACUACAAUCAGAGCAUUGCCUCUGCAUCCAACGCAUCGCCCCUGUCGCCUAUGCUACUUACAUUCAAAGCAUCGUCUCUACAUCAACUUUAUCACAGUAGCUUAUAUUUCAAGUCCAACCCGCAUAUAAAUAAUACGACUCGGACUUGGGGGACUGUAUUUUAAUGCUAGCUAUAUAUAUAUAUAUAUAUAUAUUUCUCUUUAUUGACAAUUAAUUAUUAGACACAACUGACUAAAAUAGGGAUUGAAUUUUCUAUAUUUUUGAAAAUUAAUUAGAGUGAUAUAUAGGGCGAUAUUAUCCUCCACGUUGAUCAUCUAAUAACCCGUUUGGUACGGAUUAAAAUCUGAUUUUAAUUAAAGUCAAAGUCAAAUAAUCAAUCAAUAUUAGCCACAUCUUUCAUAGGUCCCAACUUUUCAACCACAUAUUUCAAUUUUUUUUUUAUCACAAUCUACUAAAAAUCUAUUUUUAAUCCCCAUCAAACACCCUCUAAAUAUUAUUUGUAUAUGAUAAAUUUGAUAAAUAUACUAAAUGGUUGCACAUGUUCAUAUCUUGAAGUUUGUGAAAUUAUUGUUCAAAUACUAAAUUGUGAGCAUAAUUUUCUGAUUAUAUAAUCAACAUUGUGUCUUGUUAAUGCUAGUGGACAUAAACAUCAACAUUUUAAUAAGUGUUAGUUAUUAGUUGAGAUGUCAAUAAAUGGUUUGAUACUAUUGUUUGUUACAUGCCUUCAAGUAAUUUAAUUGAGAAUAAGGUACUUCCCAUUUUUGUUUGAGGAUUUUCAUUGUGCAUCAUGCCAAUAUCACAGUUCUCUCUAUUAUAAUUGGCUUAUAGUUAGAACAUAAUUUUUUCAUCUAAUUAUUUCGAUAAUGUGUAUAUGUAAAAUUGAUCUACCAUAAUGUAUUCAGAUGGAAAGUAAAGAAUGUUGAGAAUAAAUGCAUAAUUUGAACCAUUAUCCCAAAUGAGUGAGAUAUUUUAUAACGGUGAAAAAAUAAUUGUCAAUUUGAUUGGACAAUUCUCUCAGCAUUACAGGAAAGAAUUAUGAAACUGAAAAUAAUAUGCAAAUGCAUGAUUAUCUAAAUUAUCGCAAAAGAUCGUUCGAACCAAAUGUUCAAAAGACAAUAUACUAGAUGCAUUUAUUGACUAAAGAGAUCAAUAAUAUCUCACACAUCAGUUUCAAAUGUUUCAACUUGAAUUAACGUCCUACAGGAUAAUUAGUAAAUAUGAUAUUUUAAAGCACGCUUGAAGCAUGGUGAUAUUCGAUUCUAAUUAAAAAAAAAAAUCUCCAAACAAAAAUGGAGCAAUUAGUAAAAAUGGUCUCAUUAAGGAGUCAUAUAUUCUUGACGAAUAUUUAGACAUAACAAAUUACAAAAUCUCAGAAGAGAUUCAGGUACCUGAUAUAUUGAAAGUUGAUAUUUCUCAAUAAGUUAUGUCAUCAUAAAGAAAGAAAUAGAAUUCAACAAGAAAAGAAAAAAUUGUCGAUAAUAAUUUUGCACAUGAUGUACUGCAUCAUAUAGUAAGGCGUCAAAAUAUAUCGAUCGAAGUAAUAAUUAACUAAAUAAAAGGGACGCAAUCCUAACUUGAAUUUACUAGAGAAACCUGAAGUUUUUGGAUAUACAGCCCGAACACCUAAAGGUCUAUACUUAUGCGAAAUAAAAAUGGAAAAAAUGAAGUCAUAAUAUGAAAUGUACGAUUCUUUACAUAAUGAAUUUCAUGAAAAUUAGUAUAAAUAGAUAGAUCAUCAUGUAGUGGAUGUAAUUACAAGUCUCUAUUUUAUUAGCUUGGCAAGACAUAGAAUUUGACAUAAAUAUUAUAAAUUCGAUUAUAGUCAAUGCAUCUGGCAUGACUAUUAAUGUUACCUUGAAAUAUUUAAAUGUUUGAAUCAUAAUUCAAGUGUUAUUAUAAUGAGGGAGAGUAAUGUAAAAUAUUUUUCGAACAAUUGAACAAAAUAAACUUUAAAAUGUCUAUUUUUACUAGUGUAAUUUGUAGUGAAUAAUGUACAAUAUUUUUCAAAGUUUAAUUGUCCAAACUCGACAUUUAAAUUUCAGUGACCAAUCGAAAACGUGGACUUAAGUUCAGUGACCUCGACAUUUUAAAUUUCAGUGACCAAUUAAAGUCAUGAACCCAAGUUCAGUUGCCAUUGAAACAAUUAAUUAACUCUACUUCUUCUUGGAAUUAAAUAUUACUUAUUAAAACAUGUGUUUGACACUCAUUUUUAUGGAAAAUGAAUUUUAGAAUAGUAGAUUGAUGGAAAAUUUGUGGAUGAAAAAUAAGGAAAUUUUUUUGAUUUACGUGAAUUAUUAUUUUAAUGAAAAAUGUGAUUAAAAUGAAGAGAAGGAAAAAUACAUUUUGAUAAAAAUGAGAAUCAAACGGGCCUUAAGCCUCCAUCUUACUUGGAUUUCUAGUUGAUGCCACGAAGUAGCAACAUGGGGUUGGUACCACGUGGACAAGUUGAGGCUGAUGAACCUCAUAGGCUGAGCCAAACAAAUUUCUUAAGAAACUUGUAAGUAACUUUUUAUUUGAAAAAAAAGUUGUAAUGAAUAUUGAAUAAUAUGUGUUGUUUGCCUAGGUGCCAGUGAAGGCAUCAACCUACACUCCAAAAAUGCUCUUAAUGAAAUGGAAUUGGAUGAAUAAUUGUUGGGGCUCAUUUUAUAAUGCGGACUAAUAAAAGACCAAAAAUAACAAAAUGGUCAGAACAGAUUCAUCCCAAUAAUUAAGAAAAUUGUUCAACAAUUAUAAAUAAAAAACAAUAAACAGAUAAAAAUGUUUUCGCCUUAUUUCUUAUUUGAACAAGUAAAAGUUGUGUCUCCAGUCGAGAAAAAUCAAAAAGCCAAAACCUUGAGCAGACCCUGAAAUGUAACCCCAUCAUUUUCAUCUCCACCAGCCAACCUGAUCAUGGCUUCAACAUCUUCAUCACGGGCCUCAAACCCGGCCCAUUUAAGGUAACUUUUCAAAUCCUCACGGCCCACUUUCCCAUCUCCAUCUUUGUCCAUAACCCGAAAAGCAUCCUCCAUUACACCCCAUCUCCCAUUUCUACCGUUUUUCCCAUUCAAAACCUUCUCAAAUUCAUCAUAUUCCACAUAUCCAUCCUUGUUAAAAUCCGCCAUGGAUAUCAUAGACUUUAUAUCAUCCUCAUUGGAAUCCCCGGGGCCAGAAAACCCUCCGUAAAAAGCCCGGAGAUCGUCGUGGCUAAUCUUUCCGUCGCUAUCGGCGUCAAGAACAUCGAAUGCUGAUCGCAAAUUGGCUUUUCCGGUUGUUUCACGGCGG
RNAcentral lists this long non-coding RNA (19052 nucleotides) under Olea europaea (common olive). RNAcentral's name for it is "long non-coding RNA (OEUR_LNC012958)". The record is from RNAcentral. Lineage: Eukaryota; Viridiplantae; Streptophyta; Magnoliopsida; Lamiales; Oleaceae.